GACCCGCGGAGGCUGCGGUGGGACGGUAGCGACGACCGCAACAGCGCGAGCUUCAGUGGGUUUCUUCAAGAGCUUUCCGCCAUUGACCAGGCUUUGAAAGCGCUUUACGAACGCUUCCAGCCGGGAUCCAAUACAACUACCAGCACAAACAGAAAAACCAAGUGGAGCAAAAAGGAAACACAUAUUUUCGAUCUAUUUCUUGUCAGACCCGUGCCUCCUUCCCCGAGGGCCUGUCUUUCCAGAUGUGAAGCAAUUAAAGAGACAGAGCACAUCCCUGAGCACUGUCAAGGCUCCUCCCAGGAAUCACAUUCGGCAUCUCAACAGCAAGCUGCUGUAGCUUUGAACUGUGUCUUGCCAAAAUAAGUUAUUAUGCAAGGAAACAGGAAAUCUUGGUCAAAUUACCAGCCCAGGGUCCACAACAUAGAGAUUAGGAACAGAUUCAGCAAACGGAAACAAGGUAAGCAACAAAAAGUGAUCAUAUCCCAAUCAUCAAAGGUAGGACUCCAGAUCUGUUGAUCUGGAGUCAAGGAGAAAAGGGGAAACUAUUUAGGUUCAAGAAGUAGGGCUUGAAAGGGGACUUAUCAGUGGAGACUUCAAGAAUAUCUGGUAGUAUUUGUUCACCCUACCCUGGUUUGUAUGUGAGUAAUCCUUGCCCUGCCCAUUACCCAAAAGGAUUCUGAUCUGAAGACUAAUAACUAUAUUUUAGAACAAAAAUACCCUCAAUUUUAUGUUAAGCAUUCAUUAAAAUAAGUCACAUAAUAAAGUUGAUCUGUAUCAUGAGGGAGAUAUAUCAUAUGGUGGGGUCUGGCCCUUUAAAUGAGGUUAGAAAUGACUGAAGAGCUCUAUUAACCCUCUUAUUAGGACAGAAUGGAUUCCACGUAGUAUUCCCUAAAACAAAAUAAAACCAAAAAAUGACAAGCUUCUGUUAAAGGCUGUUCACCUUUGAUGAUAUCUCUUAAUUGUUUACUUUUUAACUAAGGGUUUUUAACUAGGGCUAUUAGAACUCUAGAGGGUGUUUAAUCUGUUGAUCUGUUUUCAAAAGUCUGACUCCUUUCAUUUGUGAUCCUAGGUAAGUAGUAGCUUGGAGGGUUUUACUUAUGCAAAAAGAUCAGUUCCCUAAUUUUCAAUUUCUUUAAGUGUAAAAUUCUAGUGUCAGACGCUAUCUUGAAAUGGGGGAAGGGAAGUUAUGAGAAUGUAUUGGGUAAGAUUCCCUGAUGUUUUCAUACCUCUCAAACCUAGACCUCUACACCAAGGCCCCUUCCCCACCUGUAUAGUAAGCAAAAAUACUUUUUCUUUUUCUUUCUUUCUUUUUUUUUUUUUUUUUUUUUUUGGCUUUUUAGGGCCGAACCUGCUGCAUAUGAAAGUUCCCAGGCUAUGGGCUGAACUGAAA
This 1390-nucleotide long non-coding RNA is filed under the name Sus scrofa (pig). RNAcentral describes it as "lncRNA (ENSSSCG00040011096.1)". The record is from RNAcentral. Lineage: Eukaryota; Metazoa; Chordata; Mammalia; Artiodactyla; Suidae.